This 293-nucleotide ribosomal RNA is filed under the name uncultured bacterium. RNAcentral's name for it is "partial 16S ribosomal RNA". It matches the Rfam family "Bacterial small subunit ribosomal RNA", at positions 775 to 1067 of the family's 1533-position model. The record is from RNAcentral.
GGAUUAGAUACCCUGGUAGUCCUUGCCGUAAACUAUGUAUACUUGGUGUAACUGGACUCAACCCUAGUUGUGCCGAAGCUAACGCGAUAAGUAUACCGCCUGAGGAGUACGCUCGCAAGGGUGAAACUCAAAAGAAUUGACGGGGACCCGCACAAGCAGUGGAGCAUGUGGUUUAAUUCGAUGCAACGCGAAGAACCUUACCCAGACUUGACAUGCAGUAGACAGUUCUAGAAAUAGAAUCUUCCUUCGGGACUGCUGCACAGGUGCUGCAUGGCUGUCGUCAGCUCGUGCCG